GAAUUUUAUAUAUAAUUUUAUAAUUAUGUUUUUAAUAGAAUAAUAUUAUAUAUUUUGUUGGGAGGAUAGUUAAAUAUAUAAAACUUUAAUUAAAAUUUUAAAGAUAAAUUAUUAAAUUUUAGAAUGGUUAAUAAAUUAAUAAAGAAUUAAUUACCUUAGGGAUAACAGCGUAAUAUUUUUAGAGAGUUCAUAUUAAUAAAAGUGUUUGC
Molecule: ribosomal RNA, 209 nt
Filed under: Solenopsis saevissima
Lineage: Eukaryota; Metazoa; Arthropoda; Insecta; Hymenoptera; Formicidae
Description: partial large subunit ribosomal RNA
Source: RNAcentral